Molecule: RNA transcript, 3711 nt
Organism: Panicum hallii
Lineage: Eukaryota; Viridiplantae; Streptophyta; Magnoliopsida; Poales; Poaceae
Gene name: zinc finger CCCH domain-containing protein 36-like
Exons: 7
Source: RefSeq, a predicted model, not a curated record
GGCGCGGAUACGUGGCGGCAGUGGGGGCCCCUCGCUAUAACUGGCGCGACUGGGCGGCGGGAGGCGCGACGUCGCCGCCGUGGCAAAGGCGAGGGCCGAGGGGUGGAAAAGAGCGUGGUAAGAGGGGAGAGAAACUGAAGCGACCGGGGCUGAGGUUUUUGCUCCCAAUCCCCCCCUCUCGCCUGGACUCCGCCGCCGCAUCCCCCCAUCCCUCCUCCGCCCAAACCCUUCUUCUCGCCGCAGCAGCAGCAGCGUUGCAUCCAUCCGGAUGGCCAGCGCCGGCGGUGGGGUUGGGGCGACGGACGAGAUCCCGGAGGUUGAAAGGGAGGUCGUGGAGCGCGCGCCGGAGGAGCCGGGGCGGGUCGGGUCGAAGAGGGUCAGGGAUUCGCCCAGCGCCCUGGGUUCCCACGGUUUUUAUGGAGUGACUACUGCCGAGAAGAAACCAAUGCUGCAGCCUCAUAAUGUUGAUAAAAGUUUGAGCAAAGCUGGCAACAGUAACCUUCUGCACAUGAAUUCUGAUGGUGCUUCUAAAGUGGGGGGUCGAUACCUGCAUGGUACAGAUGGCUUGGGGACUCCAGAUUCUAGUGCUUUGAGAUUGAAUAUCUUAUCUCCUGGUGAAAACCUGGAGAAUGAAACCAAAUGGGCCACCAAAAUAUGUACCUUUUACACUCAAGGUUGGUGCAAGAAAGGAAACAGUUGUGCCUUUCUUCAUGAAAGAGAGGGUCUGGGUUUCGCAAAAGCUGGUCUGCUUGCACCACCUGGUUUUGAAAAUCAUAGAGGUUCCGAAGAAGGCUCCCAAGGACAACAUCAAUCCAACUUGAAAGUGCCUCAAUUCAAAGAUGCAGAGGGUUCAUCAAAACAUGAGCUGUAUAGGAGCCUUAUUCAUGUGUAUGGUGAAGAUAAUGAGAGGCUGGCACAUAUUGCUGAUAAAAGAAACUCUACAACUCCAGGGAUUUCACAAGGGCUCCAUGGUACUGGCAGUAUCGUGCAGGGUCGAGUAGUUCAUGAGAAGAACCACAAACCUUUCAUGAGACACCAUACUGGUUUGUCACCUGAAACCUAUUUGGAUGGCAGAGGUAUCUUGCUAGAUGGAGGGAACUUUCAAUCUGGUAUGGACAGGAGAAACGGUCUCAGUAAUGCCCAUGUCGCAAGAACUUUUCUUGACGCGAACACCUUAAAUUCAGGCCAUCAGUUUCAAUCAUGUGGCCUAUCUAUUUCAUCUGAUCCUUUCCAACUCAGUGAGAAGUUGUCAGCUUAUGGUGCAACAACAGAGAAUCUUCCUAACACACAUCAGAAAGAACAUUCAAGCCAUGCCUCAUAUAGUUCACGUAGCUUAACAGGAUUUAGGAAUCCAGGCUAUGCUAUCCCUGAAAUUUCUUUAGGUAGCCCAACUCUACAAACAACUUCUCAGCUAGGCGUGCAGUUCCAUCAUCUGUUCACAACUGGUACUGAGAAGGUUAAUCUCCAUACAUAUAUUGAUGCUGACAAGGGCUGUGGUACUUCUAGACCUGCAUUACUCUCAAGCAGUUCAUCCGAACCUUAUAUUAUGUCAGCUGGACCCCUUUCUCCAAUCAAGGAUGAGGUCUGGGAAACGUCAGUGCCUUUUGUACCUUCUUUUAGUUUUCCGGAUAGUACAACACCCCCAGGGAGUCAGUAUGACCCAUUCGUUGACUAUAUUGAACCUCCUAAAGUUGGAGAUACGGAUAAUCUGAAGUCCUCCUAUGUGUCCUUCAGUACUUCAAGUCAGCAUACAAAUCAGUAUGUAAUUACUGAUGAAUCACUGAAUCGCGAUGACGAGCUAACCAGGAAUAUUCAUGCCAAAGGAGCAAAUGGACCUGCAUACUUGAUUUCAUCUGAUAGAGGACACAGCUCUAGCCUGGAUGAUAAUAAUAGGGUGAAAUCUUGUGAAAGAAAAAUCGGUGCAGCUAAUAACGAUGAGAAAGCAAGAGACUUCCGUUUUCAUUUGGCAGAACAUAUAAAGGAGUUGAUCAAACCAAUAUGGAAGGCAGGUAAUCUGAGUAAAGAUGCUCAUAAAUUGGUAGUCAAAAAAUCUGUUGGAAAAAUUGUUGAUUCGAUUGGGCCAAAUCAAAUACCAACUACUGAAGAGUUGAUUGCCAAAUAUAUUACCACCUCUGGAUCAAAGAUAGAAAAACUUGUGAAGGCGUAUGUCGAUAAGCAUCGUACAACGUGAUAUCCAAGCUUCUCAAUGUUGAGUUACAGCGCUACUGAGAUUGGAGCUUGGACUUGAUGCUGAUGGGAGCUUGAGCCUUAUGUCCCACCAGUCUGGUUAACCUACAUUUGUAGGUGCAAGAAGUUCUUAUUGGGGAAAAAAAUGAGCAUGCUUCAGUUGACCCAGAUGCAAAAGCCACCCCCAAAAAGGAAAAACUCGGGCGAGCUGCUAGAGCAAACAAGAGCGAUUGAUACAAAGUGAUGUUAUUUUGUCAUUGUGAUUGAGCUACACUGAUGAUAGAGGUGCUGACUCUGGGUCUCUGGUAAAUGCCUUAGCAGCAUAUGUUGCUCGCUGAAUCGAAAGGUUGGAAUUCUACUAUUAUUUCAAUCCUUUUUGAGCCCAUGACUUUAUUUAGUAAUUUAAUCAGCUUGUGGCCUGGUGGAAAGUCAGGUUUAAUUACUGGCGGUGGUAAUUUCGCUUUCCGCACUUGGAAAUAUUUUAUUAUGUUACCCUUGCUGCAUUUAUCUUUCUCCUUUUCCCUGUGGAAUCUUGAACCAUGUUAUGCAAUUUGCGACCUUUUAUAGUAAUAGCCUACAGAACCCUGUAGGCGGUACCUUAUUUCAUGUGUUAUUUCAUUCUUUCUUUAUAGGAUUAUUGUGUUCUACUUAGCCUAUAUUCUACAUUCUAGUUUUCUGGAGCUAACAUUGGUAACGCUAUCCACUGUGUUUUGACAUCACCUCAUCAUUCAUCAAGAACUCAAGUGUUCCUCCAAGAGAUUGAAACCGAGGCGCAAUUAGCCAACUGCGGAUUGGAGCCGGCAGUAAAGAACUAGGUAGUCUCUGGCAGAUUUAGGGCCAUCCUCUCUUUUGGUCAUUUGCUUUACUCGGCUGUUUUGAGUUUGUCGGGUUUGUUUUGCCUUAGGGGGGUUUGGACUUGGACCCCUUUUUCCUCAAUCAUGAAUACAAAGACGUGCAUCUCUCCUGCGUUGUCUGGAAAAGAACUAAAAAGGAGAGGGAGGGGGGGGGGGGGGGGGGGGGGGGGGGAGUUCUAGUUACCGAAUCACCCAAUGCUUCCCGUGAGAGUUAGCUGAUUCCGUAUUCUUUUGAUGAGGUUUAUAUUGUCUGCAGUGAGCAAGGGGCUUCCUGCUACAGUACAGGUUUUAAGAUGGUACUUGUGAUGCGCCACAUUUCCAUUGGCACAACAGAUGGUAUAAUCUAGUGCUGAAAUUAUGUGGCUAGAAAUAGUUAUGUGAGAUUAAAAUGGACCAAAUUGGCUAUACAUCCCCUGUGAUCCUUAAAUGUAUACUUUGUGUAUUUCCUUCUGUUAGAAGAGGUUUUUUCCUCAAAAGUUCGUACUGUAAUUAUUGUGUUAAUGGUAUGGGAUAUUUCAUUACCACUAUCUAUCAAGCCAAUCAAGUUGGUUUGAAUGAGUAGACUGUAAUACUACUGGACAGCUCCUUAUGUUGUAUCAAACUGGCACUGCAAACGGAAUGCAGCAUCAACAUGCUACCUUCAGGGGGCAGGGUAGCCCUUUUCAUUCCA